AUUGAACGCUGGCGGCAGGCUUAACACAUGCAAGUCGAACGAUGAUUAUCUAGCUUGCUAGAUAUGAUUAGUGGCGGACGGGUGAGUAACAUUUAGGAAUCUGCCUAGUAGUGGGGGAUAGCUCGGGGAAACUCGAAUUAAUACCGCAUACGACCUACGGGUGAAAGGGGGCGCAAGCUCUUGCUAUUAGAUGAGCCUAAAUCAGAUUAGCUAGUUGGUGGGGUAAAGGCCCACCAAGGCGACGAUCUGUAACUGGUCUGAGAGGAUGAUCAGUCACACCGGAACUGAGACACGGUCCGGACUCCUACGGGAGGCAGCAGUGGGGAAUAUUGGACAAUGGGGGCAACCCUGAUCCAGCCAUGCCGCGUGUGUGAAGAAGGCCUUUUGGUUGUAAAGCACUUUAAGCAGGGAGGAGAGGCUAAUGGUUAAUACCCAUUAGAUUAGACGUUACCUGCAGAAUAAGCACCGGCUAACUCUGUGCCAGCAGCCGCGGUAAUACAGAGGGUGCGAGCGUUAAUCGGAAUUACUGGGCGUAAAGCGAGUGUAGGUGGCUCAUUAAGUCACAUGUGAAAUCCCCGGGCUUAACCUGGGAACUGCAUGUGAUACUGGUGGUGCUAGAAUAUGUGAGAGGGAAGUAGAAUUCCAGGUGUAGCGGUGAAAUGCGUAGAGAUCUGGAGGAAUACCGAUGGCGAAGGCAGCUUCCUGGCAUAAUAUUGACACUGAGAUUCGAAAGCGUGGGUAGCAAACAGGAUUAGAUACCCUGGUAGUCCACGCCGUAAACGAUGUCUACUAGCCGUUGGGGUCCUUGAGACUUUAGUGGCGCAGUUAACGCGAUAAGUAGACCGCCUGGGGAGUACGGCCGCAAGGUUAAAACUCAAAUGAAUUGACGGGGGCCCGCACAAGCGGUGGAGCAUGUGGUUUAAUUCGAUGCAACGCGAAGAACCUUACCUGGUCUUGACGUAGUGAGAAUCCUGCAGAGAUGCGGGAGUGCCUUCGGGAAUUCACAUACAGGUGCUGCAUGGCUGUCGUCAGCUCGUGUCGUGAGAUGUUGGGUUAAGUCCCGCAACGAGCGCAACCCUUUUCCUUAUUUGCCAGCGGGUUAAGCCGGGAACUUUAAGGAUACUGCCAGUGACAAACUGGAGGAAGGCGGGGACGACGUCAAGUCAUCAUGGCCCUUACGACCAGGGCUACACACGUGCUACAAUGGUAGGUACAGAGGGUUGCUACACAGCGAUGUGAUGCUAAUCUCAAAAAGCCUAUCGUAGUCCGGAUUGGAGUCUGCAACUCGACUCCAUGAAGUCGGAAUCGCUAGUAAUCGCAGAUCAGAAUGCUGCGGUGAAUACGUUCCCGGGCCU
RNAcentral lists this ribosomal RNA (1355 nucleotides) under uncultured bacterium. RNAcentral describes it as "bacterial SSU rRNA". It matches the Rfam family "Bacterial small subunit ribosomal RNA", at positions 28 to 1381 of the family's 1533-position model. The record is from RNAcentral.